AGUUGCUUGUUGGGGGCUCACUACCGUCACAUCAUCAGAACAUGGAUUUCUUCGUGAUUUAAGUGCAAUAUUUUGUUAAAAUCAGCAUCUAAAACAGCUUCUUUUCACCAUCACGAUGCAGUGAGCCUCUCAUCAGACCAUCAACCAACGCCUCCAGGCGACCGUCACUUCAGAUUCGGGUGAACCUCAGAGGGGUGACUUUCGCCCAGACCUGCAGAGCCUUUCCAAUGGAGUCGUCCACCUCAGCUGGGCUCAUGUCUGGAGUGUAGCUCACGAUCCUGCAAGGCAGAUGAAGGACCCAAGGUCAUUGGCAAAAGUGGAGAAGCGGGCGAUAGGGAUGUCCGAAACACCACAGCGGGGCAUCUUCAUCGCCGCCAGCGUGUUCUCAUCCAGGGAGCCGGUGAUCUCCAGGCCGAAGAACCGCUGCAUCUCCAUCAGCUUACUGGCCAGCGGGCUUAUCCCCCGCCGAAAAACCGGACCGUCGUCUUCUGUGAGGUUGUAGAAAUUCUUCAGGUAGUUCUGCGGAAGAGAAAAGCAACGGUUGGAAAAUGCCAAAGGAAGCAUCCCAGACAACAGGUUGAAGGUUCAAUACCUUGGCUAAAUCUUCAUCUUGCUGGGUGAUCUGGGACAGCGGCAUGCAGGAGGCUGCGGCUGCCAGGCAGAGCAGAAUGCUGAGAGUCUUCAUCUUUGUGGUUUGUUUUCAACUUGUGCCAGUGAGGUGGGCUGCGGCCACUUUUAAAGGCUGCCGAUAGUAGACGUUGAGCAAGACGGUGAGUCAGGCGCCCUGCCUUUUAUGGACCAGAGAGGAAGUUGCUCACCCGAGAAAAAAAAGUCCCCCGCCAUCAAAGUUGUCACCAUGACGUGUAUGACUUUGCACUGGAAGAUUUUCAGCUAACAAUCUGAGAAAAGUCAUAAUCGUAGGAAUAGAUCAUGAAUUCAAUUCUGCCUGAAGUGAUUUGUAAUUUGACAAUUAUUAAAAUGUUUUCAUCUCGGAUGCACGAUGAAGUCAUUUGAGGUUCAGUUCAAUUUAAUUUUGGAGGCUACAUUCACAUUUUUAACUUUAUCACUCGUGGAAAUUAUAUCCAUUUAAAAAAAAAAUCAUUUUUCUUCACACAUUACGCACAUAAUCCUCUGCUGCUCAUAUGAAUUCACUGGAUGACUCUGCCUUUCCACUGGAGAAACACUCAAGUCUGGUCAAGCCUGAUACAUUCACAUUCUACAUCUGAGAACGUAUAAAGAGCAAGUCAAGACCAAACUCUUCCAUCUACAGGGAUCAAAAACACCCCCAUCCUGAGCAGACACGGCUCUCGCGUCACCCUGAA
Molecule: long non-coding RNA, 1322 nt
Organism: Synchiropus splendidus (mandarinfish)
Lineage: Eukaryota; Metazoa; Chordata; Actinopteri; Syngnathiformes; Callionymidae
Exons: 3
Source: RefSeq, a predicted model, not a curated record